This 449-nucleotide ribosomal RNA is filed under the name uncultured bacterium. Its description in RNAcentral is "partial 16S ribosomal RNA". It matches the Rfam family "Bacterial small subunit ribosomal RNA", at positions 329 to 794 of the family's 1533-position model. The record is from RNAcentral.
CACCAGACUCCUACGGGAGGCAGCAGUGGGGAAUAUUGCACAAUGGGGGGAACCCUGAUGCAGCGACGCCGCGUGGGUGAAGGAGCGUUUCGGCGCGUAAAGCCCUAUCGGCAGGGAAGAAGGAGGACGGUACCUGACUAAGAAGCCCCGGCUAACUACGUGCCAGCAGCCGCGGUAAUACGUAGGAGGCAAGCGUUAUCCGGAAUGACUGGGCGUAAAGGGUGCGUAGGUGGUUUGACAAGUUAGUAGCGCAACUCCGGAGCUUAACUUCGGAACUACUACUAAAACUGUUGGACUUGAGUGCAGGAGGGGCAAUCGGAAUUCCUAGUGUAGCGGUGGAAUGCGUAGAUAUUAGGAGGAACACCAGUGGCGAAGGCGGAUUGCUAGACUGUAACUGACACUGAGGCACGAAAGCGUGGGGAGCAAACAGGAUUAGAUACCCGGGUAAA